Molecule: long non-coding RNA, 1590 nt
Filed under: Homo sapiens (human)
Lineage: Eukaryota; Metazoa; Chordata; Mammalia; Primates; Hominidae
Description: HSALNT0280415
Source: RNAcentral
AGAGUUUAAGCAUGCUGCCUGAAACUAAUCCAAGUGGUUCCUGCUACCCAACCCCCAGACACAUACAAAUAACCAUUUAUGAAGAUGUACUAUGCUCCAGCAAACUUGAAGAACGCUUGUGGGAGAUGACGCAAUCUCAAGACAAAAAUAUCCUGGGUUCCAGAACGAACAAAUGGACCAUAACUUCCCCAUACACCCUCCAUUCUCCUUGAGAAGUGAAAAACAGGAUGAAUUUAUGGCUUUUUUGGAGAUCAAAACUAUAUGACCUAUAUUGAGGCUGUGACUGGGCAUCAACCUCCUUAGAUCUAUGUUGUAUCUAGCUUUCUGCUAUUACUAUACCCUCAAUCUCAUGAGUGCUUUUCUUGCCCCUUUUCCAUUUGAUUCUCACAAUCCUAGGAGGUUUGCAGAAUAAGAAAUGUUAAUCUUACUUUUCAGAUGAAGAAACCAGAGGUCAGAGCUAUUACCUGAAUUGCCCAAUGUGACAUAGUUAACAGGUUGGAACAAUCUUGCUUGUCAAGUCUCUAUAUCCUUUAACUACCUGCUUUGCAACUUUGUAAUGUGGCAAUAUGAGCUUCUAUUCCCUUCAGUACAAAGUAAAGUUGUUCAUCUUUGUGGUUUUAUUCAUACUGUUCUGACCCUAAUGUCUUUGCUUUUACUUUUGGCCACUACCACUUCCCUGAUAUGAAAAUUUCUCUCCCUCCUUCUGCAGGCAUACACACUGACAUACAGUUUUACCUGGUUAUGGAAAUGUAAAAUGGUACAGCUGCUGUAGAAAACAGUUUGGCAGUUCUUCAAAAUGUUAAACACAGUUACCAUAUGACCCAACAACUCAACUCAUAGAUAUAUACUCAAAAAAUUGAAAACAUAUGUUCACAUAAAACUGUACACAAAUGUUUAUGGUAGCAUUAUUCAUAAUACCCAAACAAUGGAAACAACUUAAAUGUUCAUCAACUGAUGAAUGGAUAAACAAAAUGUGGCAUACCCUUAUAUGAAGUAUCACUUAGCAAUAAGACGGAGUGAAACACUGAUACAUGCUACAACAUGGAUGAGUCUUGAAGUACUAUAAUGAGUGAAAGAAGCCAGACACAAAAGGCCACAUGUUGUGUAAUUCCACUUAUAUGAAAUGUCCAAAAUAGACAAAUCCAUAGAGAUGGAAAAUAGCUUUGUGGUUGCCAGGAACUGGGGAGAGGGGGUAUUGAGGAGUCACUGCUAAUGGGUAUGUAAUUUCUUUUUGGAAUGACGAAAAUAUUCUGGAGUUAGAUGAUGUUUACUUAGAUAAUGAUGAUAGUUUUAUAACCUUGUGAAUAUACUAAAAACCACUGACUUGUACACUUUAUAUUGGUGAAUUUCAUGGCAUGUGAAUUAUAUUGCAAUUUUUUAAAAGGCAAAAAAGAAUGUUGCCUGGCUAACACCUAUUUGCAGUUUACUAUUUCACACAUGCAUCAACUCCUUCAGAAAGUUUUUCUUCAUAUCUCCCUCAUGUGCUCCCAUAACAUCUGUGAGAUUGUUACUACGUGUAUUGUGAUGACACAUGUUUUUGCUUUGCUUCCUCUCAGAUAUUAUGUAAGAAUAUAAUAUCUGAGCUCACCA